CACGCAGGCGGAUUGAUAAGUCAGGGGUGAAAUCCCGGGGCUCAACCUCGGAAUUGCCUUUGAUACUGUCUACCUUGAGUUCGGGAGAGGUUGGCGGAAUUCCUAGUGUAGAGGUGAAAUUCGUAGAUAUUAGGAAGAACACCAGUGGCGAAGGCGGCCAACUGGCCCGAUACUGACGCUCAUGUGCGAAAGCGUGGGGAGCAAACAGGAUUAGAUACCCUGGUAGUCCACGCCGUAAACUAUGGAUGCUAGCCGUUGGGGAGCUUGCUCUUCAGUGGCGCAGCUAACGUCUUAAGCAUCCCGCCUGGGGAGUACGGUCGCAAGAUUAAA
Molecule: ribosomal RNA, 330 nt
Filed under: uncultured bacterium
Lineage: Bacteria
Description: bacterial SSU rRNA
Rfam family: Bacterial small subunit ribosomal RNA
Source: RNAcentral